CGAAACUGCGAAUAGCUCAUUAAUACGCUCAGAAUCUAUUUGGCGGCGACCAACAGGUCUUAAAUGGAUAGCAGCAGCAACUCUGGUGCUAAUACAUGCGAUUGUUUCUCCAGAUGUGAAUUAUGGAGGAAAAGUUGACCUCAUCAGAGGCACGCCAUUCGACUGAGUGACCUAUCAGCUUGUACUUAGGGUCUUUACCUAGGUAGGCUAUCACGGGUAACGGGCGGUUACCGUCGGACUGCCGGAGAAGGCGCCUGAGAGAUAGCGACUAUAUCCACGGGUAGCAGCAGGCGCGAAACUUUCCCACUCGAGACUUUCGGAGGAGGUAAUGACCAGUUCCAUUGGUGCCUUUUGGUACUGUGGAUAGGGGUACGGUUUUCCACCGUACCGAAACCUAGCAGAGGGCCAGUCUGGUGCCAGCAGCUGCGGUAAUUCCAGCUCUGCGAGUUUGCUCCCAUAUUGUUGCAGUUAAAACGCCCGUAGUCUGAAUUGGCCAGCAAUGGUCGUACGUAUUUUUACGUUCACUGUGAACAAAUCAGGACGCUUAGAGUAUGGCCACAUGAAUGACUCAGCGCAGUAUGAAGUCUUUGUUUUCUUCCGAAAACAAGCUCAAUGAGAGCCAUCGGGGGUAGAUCUAUCUCAUGACGAGUGGUGGAAUACUUUGACUCAUGAGAGAGAAGCUGAGGCGAAGGCGUCUACCUAGAGGGUUUCUGUCGAUCAAGGGCGAGAGUAGGAGUAUCCAACAGGAUUAGAGACCCUGGUAGUUCCUACCUUAAACGAUGCCGACAGGAGUUUGUCAUUUGUUAAUGGCAGAAUCUUUGGAGAAAUCAUAGUUCUUGGGCUCUGGGGGAACUACGACCGCAAGGCUGAAACUUGAAGGAAUUGACGGAAGGGCACACCAGGGGUGGAGCCUGUGGCUUAAUUUGAAUCAACACGGGGGAAACUUACCAGGACCAGAUGUUUUUUUAUGACUGACAGGGCUUCGGGUCUUUCAGGAUAUUGUUUUUUGGUGGGUGCAUGGCCCGUUGGUGGGUGCGUGGGGUUGACCUGGUCUAGCGGUUGAUUCAGCUAACGAACGAAGAUUAUCGCCCAAUUAUUUACUUUUGCCGAAGUCCUUCCGGUUAAAGUUCUAAUUGGGGACUCCCCUGCGAAUUUUAGCAGGUGGGAAGAAGGGUAGCAAUAAACAGG
Molecule: ribosomal RNA, 1188 nt
Filed under: Trichomonas vaginalis
Lineage: Eukaryota; Parabasalia; Trichomonadida; Trichomonadidae
Description: SSU rRNA
Rfam family: Eukaryotic small subunit ribosomal RNA
Source: RNAcentral